Molecule: long non-coding RNA, 1103 nt
Filed under: Nicotiana benthamiana
Lineage: Eukaryota; Viridiplantae; Streptophyta; Magnoliopsida; Solanales; Solanaceae
Description: long non-coding RNA (NBEN_LNC034321)
Source: RNAcentral
GAUCGGGCAUCUUAUUAUCAUUUGAAUUAACUAGGCCCAAAACACCUCCACCCAACCCAAAACGCCAUUUUCACCCCACCACUCUUAAUCUUUAAGAUUUUUCACUUCAUUCUUUUCACUCAACCAACAACCCAAACCCUAAACACACCCUAAACUCCUUAGCCGUCACACCUUACACACCACACCCACUCCUUUUCAUCUUCUCCAAACCCCCUCCAAGCCCUAAACCACCCCACAAAACACCCCUAUCGUCCUUCACGACCACCCCAGCCCCCCGUUGCAACCACCACGAACACCUCUAACGACAAACGACCCCUCACCCACUGCCCAAGAUAGCCAUGAAAACCAACCAGUCCCGUCCGCUUUCCCCGUCGCCCAGUUGUGAACCGGCGCCCAAAAGAUCCUCCCCGACGUCCCAACACCACUGCUCGACGCCACCAUCCAGCUCACGAGCAAACAGCCCCUCCUAGCCCACACACAACUCCAUCGCCCAAACGGACCAGUCUUCCACGCCAAACAACCCCUCCCAUUAACAUCAUAUCGCCGGAAUACGCACGAUCGAGACGGAGAAGAGACCGGGUCCGAAAAGAAAAAAUGCUCUUCAUCUUCUGAUUUUCGUUCCAAAAAAUAGAGAUGGUUUGAGUUUUGAGUUUGUUGUUGAGAUUCCCGGCAGAUUUGAGUUUAUUCGGGUUUCAAAGUUUCCGGGCAGAUUUAUUUCGAUUCGAGUUCGUCGUUAUUUCGAUGGGGUUAGUUGGUUUAAGUUUCAUUUCUGUUCGUAUUUUGUUUGAUAUUUUUGGAUCUAAAAUCAGUAUAUGUUUGAUUAUAUUCUUGUUCGUUGUUUAUCAUUUUCUUGAUUAUUUCUUCAGUUUGCUUUAUUCAUUUGUUCUUGUUUAGUUUUAAUAUAGAAAUAUUUUAGUUUAAUCACUUGAGUCCUUGAUCUUGAUUGUAAUAUUUUUAGAUUUAAUUUGAAGUUCAAUUAAUUAUUGAGUUUAGUGAUUGAAAUAUGUUUUAUUGUUGUGUUAAGUCUAAAUUUGGAUCUGACUUAGAAAUUUGAAUUUGUUUGUUUGAUUUGUUAAGUUAAUUUGAAUCUGAGUUUAGUGAUU